GAUGAACGCUGGCGGCGUGCCUAAUACAUGCAAGUCGAGCGAACAGACGAGGAGCUUGCUUCUCUGACGUUAGCGGCGGACGGGUGAGUAACACGUGGCUAACCUACCUAUAAGACUGGGAUAACUUCGGGAAACCGGAGCUAACACCGGAUAAUAUAUUGAACCGCAUGGUUCAAUAGUCAAAGACGGUUUUGCUGUCACUUAUAGAUGGAUCCGCGCCGGAUUAGCUAGUUGGUACGGUAACGGCUUACCAAGGCAACGAUGCGUAGCCGACCUGAGAGGGUGAUCGGCCACACUGGAACUGAGACACGGUCCAGACUCCUACGGGAGGCAGCAGUAGGGAAUCUUCCGCAAUGGGCGAAAGCCUGACGGAGCAACGCCGCGUGAGUGAUGAAGGUCUUCGGAUCGUAAAACUCUGUUAGUAGGGAAGAACAAAUGUGUAAGUAACUAUGCACGUCUUGACGGUACCUACUCAGAAAGCCACGGCUAACUACGUG
RNAcentral lists this ribosomal RNA (497 nucleotides) under uncultured bacterium. RNAcentral describes it as "partial 16S ribosomal RNA". It matches the Rfam family "Bacterial small subunit ribosomal RNA", at positions 28 to 507 of the family's 1533-position model. The record is from RNAcentral.